AGGCGAUUAGCUCAGCUGGUUAGAGCGCACCUCUGAUAAGGGUGAGGUCCCAAGUUCAAGUCUUGGAUCGCCUA
This 74-nucleotide transfer RNA is filed under the name Candidatus Dojkabacteria bacterium. RNAcentral describes it as "tRNA-Ile". It matches the Rfam family "tRNA". Rfam says of the family: Transfer RNA (tRNA) molecules are approximately 80 nucleotides in length. The record is from RNAcentral.